GACGAACGCUGGCGGCGUGCUUAACACAUGCAAGUCGAACGGAAAGGCCCUGCUUUUGUGGGGUGCUCGAGUGGCGAACGGGUGAGUAACACGUGAGUAACCUGCCCUUGACUUUGGGAUAACUUCAGGAAACUGGGGCUAAUACCGGAUAGGAGCUCCUGCUGCAUGGUGGGGGUUGGAAAGUUUCGGCGGUUGGGGAUGGACUCGCGGCUUAUCAGCUUGUUGGUGGGGUAGUGGCUUACCAAGGCUUUGACGGGUAGCCGGCCUGAGAGGGUGACCGGCCACAUGGGGACUGGGUUACGGCCCAGACUCCUACGGGAGGCAGCGGUGGGAAAUAUUGCACAAGGGGCGGAGGCCUGAUGCAGCAACGCCGCGUGCGGGAUGACGGCCUUGGGGUUGUAAACCGCUUUCGCCGGUAACGAGGCGUUAGUGACGGUAAUGAGUAAAGAAGCACCGGCUAACUACGUG
This 468-nucleotide ribosomal RNA is filed under the name uncultured bacterium. RNAcentral's name for it is "partial 16S ribosomal RNA". It matches the Rfam family "Bacterial small subunit ribosomal RNA", at positions 28 to 507 of the family's 1533-position model. The record is from RNAcentral.